RNAcentral lists this ribosomal RNA (465 nucleotides) under uncultured Klebsiella sp. Its description in RNAcentral is "bacterial SSU rRNA". It matches the Rfam family "Bacterial small subunit ribosomal RNA", at positions 338 to 795 of the family's 1533-position model. The record is from RNAcentral. Lineage: Bacteria; Pseudomonadati; Pseudomonadota; Gammaproteobacteria; Enterobacterales; Enterobacteriaceae.
CCUACGGGAGGCUGCAGUGGGGAAUAUUGCACAAUGGGCGCAAGCCUGAUGCAGCCAUGCCGCGUGUGUGAAGAAGGCCUUCGGGUUGUAAAGCACUUUCAGCGGGGAGGAAGGCGUUAAGGUUAAUAACCUUGGCGAUUGACGUUACCCGCAGAAGAAGCACUGGCUAACUCCGUGCCAGCAGCCGCGGUAAUACGGAGGGCGCAAGCGUUAAUCGGAAUUACUGGGCGUAAAGCGCACGCAGGCGGUCUGUCAAGUCGGAUGUGAAAUCCCCGGGCUCAACCUGGGAACUGCAUUCGAAACUGGCAGGCUAGAGUCUUGUAGAGGGGGGUAGAAUUCCAGGUGUAGCGGUGAAAUGCGUAGAGAUCUGGAGGAAUACCGGUGGCGAAGGCGGCCCCCUGGACAAAGACUGACGCUCAGGUGCGAAAGCGUGGGGAGCAAACAGGAUUAGAUACCCGGGUAGUC